GACGAACGCUGGCGGCGUGCCUAACACAUGCAAGUGGAGCGACGAACCAGGGCUUGCCCUGGGGCCAAGCCGCGAACGGGUGAGUAACACGUGGGUAACCUGCCCAGAUGACCGGGACAACCCGAGGAAACUCGGGCUAAUACCGGAUGUGACCCUCACACAUCAGUGUGAGAACCAAAGGAAGCUUCGGCCUCCGCAUCUGGAGGGGCCCGCGGCCCAUUAGCUUGUUGGUGAGGUAACGGCUCACCAAGGCCAUGAUGGGUAGCUGGUCUGAGAGGACGAUCAGCCACACUGGGACUGAGACACGGCCCAGACUCCUACGGGAGGCAGCAGUGGGGAAUCUUGCGCAAUGCGCGAAAGCGUGACGCAGCAAC
RNAcentral lists this ribosomal RNA (374 nucleotides) under uncultured bacterium. Its description in RNAcentral is "bacterial SSU rRNA". It matches the Rfam family "Bacterial small subunit ribosomal RNA", at positions 28 to 395 of the family's 1533-position model. The record is from RNAcentral.